This 555-nucleotide long non-coding RNA is filed under the name Homo sapiens (human). RNAcentral describes it as "HSALNT0230319". The record is from RNAcentral. Lineage: Eukaryota; Metazoa; Chordata; Mammalia; Primates; Hominidae.
UGGAUGAAUUAUAGAGAUGGAUUUCUCAUGGCUCUGUGCUGUCAUUGUCACACAGAGGCCCCUUACUGGACUUGGACCGAGUGGAUGGACAGGAAACCACCAACCAUGGUGGCCACCCAAACCAACUUUCACUGCCUUACUCUUGAAACCCCACUCUCUCCAUCUCCUGGCUGAAGAACCACAAGAGCUCUAAGGAGAGCAUCACAUCAGCAUAUGGAGGGCUUCUGGACAGCCAGAUGCAGCAAAAUGGAAAUCCACUGCAAAUUCUCUAGCAACUUAGUAUGUGGAGGUGAACACCAGCAAAUUGGGUGUCAAUGGCAUGCCCUAUGUCACCAUGCUCAGGGGAGAUGCUGCUGCUGGCCAGGAGCAUGGGGAUAGCAGGCCUGAGGCUCCACUUUACAGAACUCUACCAUCAUUAUAAAAGUUUUGGAGUAGCCUAUGAAAGACAGAACAUGUCAUCAGCUAGGAGACAAAAUCCUCUACAGUGAGCAGUUCUCCUGGAUAUAAACUUGGUGCUGGUUCAUUUAGCAUCUGUGAUGAACCAAUGUCUAAAAU